UCCGGGCGAAGUCUUCCUACAAGUGAAGUUGGGGGCGAAGUCCGGCUCCCAUAGGAGUCCGGAUGAGGUCUACCUGCAAGUGAAAGUCGGUGAAGUUCGGCUCCCGUAGGAGCCCGUCUGUCGUGAAGAAUCUGGUCGACGUUGGCGGGGGUUGAUCCGUUGGCAAAACUUGAGAAUGUUACGGAGGCUCGGCCGCCAGAGAGGUUCGGAGAGAUGCCGUCGAAGGUCGGAAGUUGGCAAAAUCCCCGGAGGGUCACUCCUGGCAUGAACUUCGGCUGUUGGGAUAUUUUGUACCUAACAAGAUGAAUUAUAUGAAAACUAUAUCCGCAUGGGUUCUAUGGAUGUUGUUCUACACAUUCGACCUAUCCGAUCAUCGGGUACCAUUGCUAGAUGGUCACUUCGAUUGGUACAAGAAUUUGUUCCUAUGCUACCGACUUAGGUUCGGACCUAUGAGGUCACACACAUUAGAGUUCAUGAUCCGAUCGGAUGGUUGAUCAAUGAUUAAGAAUCGUUCUAGGAUUAAAUGAUCAAUACGAUUGACAUUUAACCCAGUGCAAGUGUUGCAGGAGGAUCGAUUAGCGAUUCGAUUGCUAAUUGGCUUAAUUAGAUUAAGCCAAUGGGCUGAGA
RNAcentral lists this long non-coding RNA (627 nucleotides) under Elaeis guineensis (African oil palm). RNAcentral's name for it is "long non-coding RNA (EGUI_LNC053237)". The record is from RNAcentral. Lineage: Eukaryota; Viridiplantae; Streptophyta; Magnoliopsida; Arecales; Arecaceae.